Hippocampus comes (tiger tail seahorse) is the source of this 252-nucleotide long non-coding RNA. RefSeq lists it as uncharacterized. The transcript is spliced from 2 exons. The record is from RefSeq and is a predicted model, not a curated record. Lineage: Eukaryota; Metazoa; Chordata; Actinopteri; Syngnathiformes; Syngnathidae.
GCCCCCCCACGAGAGUUCUGAACUGCUCCGCCGUACUUCUGGGGCCGCGAAGGUAGAAAAUGGCAUCCCGCCUGGCUGGUGGAAGGCUGCGCGCGGUGUUGUGGCAGGCGAGGACACUUGAGAAGAUCCUCAGACAUCCCAGAAGGUACCUCAACAAAAAUGAAAUGUUUUUCUUGUUGACACACGUAAGUGCUCAACCCACAACCUUCCUGAUGACUGCCAGGCUGUUUUAUUUUUUAUUCUAUUCCCCCC